This 77-nucleotide transfer RNA is filed under the name Pseudoalteromonas sp. SWXJZ94C. RNAcentral's name for it is "tRNA-Lys". It matches the Rfam family "tRNA". Rfam says of the family: Transfer RNA (tRNA) molecules are approximately 80 nucleotides in length. Their secondary structure includes four short double-helical elements and three loops (D, anti-codon, and T loops). The record is from RNAcentral. Lineage: Bacteria; Pseudomonadati; Pseudomonadota; Gammaproteobacteria; Alteromonadales; Pseudoalteromonadaceae.
GGGUUAUUAGCUCAGUUGGUAGAGCAGUUGACUUUUAAUCAAUUGGUCGAUGGUUCAAAUCCAUCAUANACCCACCA